RNAcentral lists this ribosomal RNA (256 nucleotides) under uncultured bacterium. Its description in RNAcentral is "partial 16S ribosomal RNA". It matches the Rfam family "Bacterial small subunit ribosomal RNA", at positions 521 to 776 of the family's 1533-position model. The record is from RNAcentral.
UAAGACGAAGGGGGCUAGCGUUGUUCGGAAUUACUGGGCGUAAAGGGCGCGCAGGCGGCUCGACAAGUCAGGCGUUAAAGACCCAGGCUUAACCUGGGGAAUGCGCUUGAUACUGUUGGGCUUGAGAUCGGAAGAGGAGAGUGGAAUUCCCAGUGUAGAGGUGAAAUUCGUAGAUAUUGGGAAGAACACCAGUGGCGAAGGCGGCUCUCUGGUCCGAUUCUGACGCUGAGGCGCGAAAGCGUGGGGAGCAAACAGG